GCAGUUUAAUUUCACUUCUUUCUACAAUGUGUGAUGAAGGUGGACUUAACUUUUAAAGGCAAAGAGACAAACCACUGCCAGGAUAAAUGAAAAGACGCAGAGGGGGCAGCUGGCACCACACAGGCAAGGAAAUGCUUUCUGGCUGUUUCCUAAUUUUCAUAUCCGGGUCAUCUUCAGAAAUCAUUUUCAGAGGGUUAGCAGCCAUGACCAUCAUGGUGGAGAAUGUGGCAGCAGGCAAUCAGGCAUCACACUGGAAUAGUAGGGAUUUCUCUGUAGCCUAAGCUGGUCUAGAAAUCACUUUGUACAUCCUCCUGAUUCGGUGUGAUUACACAUAAGAGAAGUUGCAAUGAGGUAAGUAGAAUGAGAAGGCUGUCCUAAGGAAGAUGACACUGAGGUCGUCAUGAAGUGAUGCAUGAGAUUUAGAAAAGUACUCUUACUUAGAAGAUGAAUCAAGUUGGUAUUACCAACAAGAACAACUGUUCCCCUUCUACUAAUGGCUAAACAAGACUUUAGCAAUGCAUAUUAUAAGUCUACAGUAUGAAGAAGUGGCAAUGUUUGUAGGGAAAUAUCUCUGUCUCUAUUUUCUUCUUAUUAAAGAUUAAGAAAGUUGUUGUUUAGAUGAAUUCGGAAAGAAUUUUUGUUGAUUUUUAUUGAGCUCUAUAUUUUUCUCUGUUCCCUUCUCUGCCUCUCUCCUCCCCUUCAACCCUCUGAAAGAUUUCCCCAAUAUUUUCUUUGGCAGAACAGAACAGCCCUAGACAAAGGGUGAGAGCUACGUCUCCAUUGGUACAGAUGGUCCUAAUUAGCUAAAUUAUGUCUUUAACUAGGCAAAUGAACUAGAGGGAACUUGAAAAUUUUGUAUUGAAGCUUUAAGUGUAAUUUCAUAAUGUUGACAACAGGCUGUAUUGCAGUAGUUUUCUGCCUUGAACAUUCUUUUUCAUUAAAUCAACUGUCAUCUCUUAUCAAGUCUGUAAAUUGGUCAACAUGCCCUGAAAUAGCAAUCUGAAUAAUCACCAUAAAAGGAGGAACCUCUCUGUAACCCCAUCAUUAAUUCUAUUAUAGUUUUUUGUAACUUUGUCUUUGUCUAUACUCAUUGGUACUUUUAUAUCACAGGGAGAUUUUAUUUCUAUUUGGCAGGUUCAAGUAGAUACAUAGUCUUCUUUAAAUAAAGUCUCACUGCAAUGGGUCAUAUAUCCUGA
Molecule: long non-coding RNA, 1196 nt
Organism: Microtus oregoni (creeping vole)
Lineage: Eukaryota; Metazoa; Chordata; Mammalia; Rodentia; Cricetidae
Exons: 4
Source: RefSeq, a predicted model, not a curated record